Molecule: non-coding RNA, 138 nt
Organism: Ornithorhynchus anatinus (platypus)
Lineage: Eukaryota; Metazoa; Chordata; Mammalia; Monotremata; Ornithorhynchidae
Source: Rfam
CUCCUCUCAGGGUUGCACCUGGAGAGUUUCCAGUACUCUACCAGUUUCGGCUAUGGGAGGGAGAGUCAAGCAGAGGCCUACCCAUUCCAUUCCCAGCUUGGGCAGUUGCUAGCAAGUGGAAGGCAAUCUGCUGCAAGU